GUGCUUGCUUCAGCAGCACAUACACUAAAGUUGGAACAAUACAAAGAAGAUUAGCAUGGCCCCUG
Molecule: small nuclear RNA, 65 nt
Organism: Cercocebus atys (sooty mangabey)
Lineage: Eukaryota; Metazoa; Chordata; Mammalia; Primates; Cercopithecidae
Source: Ensembl